UAAGGAAUAUUGGUCAAUGGGCGCAAGCCUGAACCAGCCAUGCCGCGUGAAGGAUGACGGCCCUAUGGGUUGUAAACUUCUUUUGUACGGGAAAAAACCUCUGGUCGAGAAUCAGAGCUGAUGGUACCGUAAGAAUAAGCAUCGGCUAACUCCGUGCCAGCAGCCGCGGUAAUACGGAGGAUGCAAGCGUUAUCCGGAUUCAUUGGGUUUAAAGGGUGCGCAGGCGGAAUAAUAAGUCAGCGGUGAAAGCCUACAGCUUAACUGUAGAACUGCCAUUGAUACUGUUAUUCUUGAGUGUUGUUGAGGUAGGCGGAAUGUGUCAUGUAGCGGUGAAAUGCUUAGAUAUGACACAGAACACCGAUCGCGAAGGCAGCUUACCAAGCAACAACUGACGCUCAUGCACGAAAGCGUGGGGAUCAAACA
RNAcentral lists this ribosomal RNA (423 nucleotides) under uncultured prokaryote. RNAcentral describes it as "bacterial SSU rRNA". It matches the Rfam family "Bacterial small subunit ribosomal RNA", at positions 355 to 774 of the family's 1533-position model. The record is from RNAcentral.